Molecule: unclassified non-coding RNA, 196 nt
Filed under: soil metagenome
Description: partial contains 5.8S ribosomal RNA, internal transcribed spacer 2, and large subunit ribosomal RNA
Source: RNAcentral
AACGGUCUAUACCUGCGGUACCUGCGGAGGGAUCAUUCAUAAUAAAAGUGAAAUAAAUUAUGGCACUUUUAAAACAAUCCAUAUCCACCUUGUGUGCAAUGUUUUUUUUAUAUCAACUCUUUUAAAUACAAAUUGAUCUGAAAUUAUUUUAUAUGAAUACUUAAUUCAAAAAUAUAACUUUUAACAACGGAUCUCU